UGCGAUGAUGAAUGAAUCCAAUGCUGACUGGAUGAUUGGCCCCAAUUGGCUGAGC
This 55-nucleotide small nucleolar RNA is filed under the name Thermococcus sibiricus MM 739. RNAcentral describes it as "Small nucleolar RNA sR46". It matches the Rfam family "Small nucleolar RNA sR46". Lineage: Archaea; Methanobacteriati; Methanobacteriota; Thermococci; Thermococcales; Thermococcaceae. The record is from Rfam by way of RNAcentral.